Long non-coding RNA from Brachypodium distachyon (stiff brome), 700 nucleotides. RefSeq lists it as uncharacterized. The transcript has 2 exons. The record is from RefSeq and is a predicted model, not a curated record. NCBI's taxonomy places the organism in Eukaryota, Viridiplantae, Streptophyta, Magnoliopsida, Poales, Poaceae.
UUACUCGCCGCGCCGCGCCACGGAGGAGAGGGCAGCGGCCGCGCCCCCGGGCAGGAGAAGAAGGCGGCUGCACGCCGCGGAGGAGGGGAGGCGGCCGCGCUUGCAGACGAAGAAGAGGGAGCAGCCACGCCGUCGUGCAGGUCUGCAGGAGAAGGAGGCCAGGGCUCAGGCGCGGAGGAGGAGAGGCCAGCUGCGCCGCCGCGCAAGAGGAGAAUACGGGCGCGCUGCUGUGGAGGAGAAGAGAGGGAGAAGACGUGCACCGCCAGCGGAGCGAAGGAAGAGGGCUGCAUCGCCGCCGCACGUGUGAACUGACAGCAACAAGAAGAAUUGGAGUUUUGUGUAAUUGUGGGUGAUGUGCAAUGGCAAAUUCUGUUAAGGGGGUGCCCUGAGACCUGAAGUUGGUAUUGAAUUCAGAAGUUUAGAUGAGUUUUGGAUGUUUUGGAUAGCAAAUAUGGAGACUGAAAAGUAAAGUGUCAUUGGAAGUUUACCCAGCUGAUCAUAGCUCCCCCUACUAGUGAUGGUAGUCUUUUGGGGUUAUUUUGGGGGGCUAACUAUAGUCUUCCAAUUGUGUGAGUGAUCUGCAGAAAUUGCAUGUAUGCUGGGUUCAGUUUUUGCUACAGAUUUUCAAUGUAAUAUGUGACCUUAAUUGCUUCAGACCCUCAAUGUUAAGUUCUACAAAAUGUCAAUGUUAGCUGGUUCA